GACGAACGCUGGCGGCGUGCCUAAUACAUGCAAGUAGAACGCUGAAGGAGGAGCUUGCUUCUCUGGAUGAGUUGCGAACGGGUGAGUAACGCGUAGGUAACCUGCCUGGUAGCGGGGGAUAACUAUUGGAAACGAUAGCUAAUACCGCAUAAUAGCAGUUGUUGCAUGACAACUGUUUGAAAGGUGCAAUUGCACCACUACCAGAUGGACCUGCGUUGUAUUAGCUAGUUGGUGGGGUAACGGCUCACCAAGGCGACGAUACAUAGCCGACCUGAGAGGGUGAUCGGCCACACUGGGACUGAGACACGGCCCAGACUCCUACGGGAGGCAGCAGUAGGGAAUCUUCGGCAAUGGACGGAAGUCUGACCGAGCAAAGCCGCGGGAGUGAAGAAGGGUUUCGGAUCGUAAAGCUCUGUUGUAAGAGAAGAACGAGUGUGAGAGUGGAAAGUUCACACUGUGACGGUAUCUUACCAGAAAGGGACGGCUAACUACGUG
This 495-nucleotide ribosomal RNA is filed under the name uncultured bacterium. RNAcentral describes it as "partial 16S ribosomal RNA". It matches the Rfam family "Bacterial small subunit ribosomal RNA", at positions 28 to 507 of the family's 1533-position model. The record is from RNAcentral.